AAUCAGCGGGGAAAGAAGACC
This 21-nucleotide small nuclear RNA is filed under the name Arabidopsis thaliana (thale cress). RNAcentral describes it as "snRNA_05297". Lineage: Eukaryota; Viridiplantae; Streptophyta; Magnoliopsida; Brassicales; Brassicaceae. The record is from RNAcentral.